UAGCAAUGGAAUCUUAAAUUAGAACAGUUGUUCUUCAGGUUUAGGCACUUGUUCUACAUGAAAAGAGUACAGUAAGACGCAAGAAUAUAAUACUUAAAAAUAGAAAAUGAGCUCAUAGACCUUACCACAUUCUUGGUUCGGGACCAGUACAGAACAAGGCGUUCCCAGUCAUCGUCCAGUAAAUGUGUCUCAGGAGAACGUAAGGGAAUUUGAUGAGUUUCUUUGCCGGUGAAGUACGUUUUCUUCAGGUAAUUCCGAUACUGCCACCAAGCAUUCUUGAAGAUAGCAGAGGUAUUAGCACAGGUUACCUCAUCCUGAGUUUCCAAAUCGGUCCUUCUCUAUAGAGAAAAAUGGGAAAAUUUGCUGUAUUAUAACCAUCAUGGAGGUAGGAUGUAUGGGACGAAGCAAAGUAAUUGCCAUGAA
RNAcentral lists this ribosomal RNA (423 nucleotides) under Triticum aestivum (bread wheat). RNAcentral's name for it is "partial small subunit ribosomal RNA". Lineage: Eukaryota; Viridiplantae; Streptophyta; Magnoliopsida; Poales; Poaceae. The record is from RNAcentral.